Molecule: long non-coding RNA, 980 nt
Organism: Solea senegalensis (Senegalese sole)
Lineage: Eukaryota; Metazoa; Chordata; Actinopteri; Pleuronectiformes; Soleidae
Exons: 5
Source: RefSeq, a predicted model, not a curated record
GUUUAUAUAGUGUUUUACACAUAAUACACUAGAUUGUGUGUGACAAGAGGAUACAAUUGCUAUUGGCUAUCUCGCCAUGUUGCUUUGAACGUGAUUGGUUGAUGUCAUCAAGAAAACUGGCCAAUGACAAUGUGCCUUCUUUUUUUGAAACUGUGUCAGUUUGAAUGGGUAUGGUGCAAGGCAUCAGUGGGCUAUCUGACACUAAUGGAUUACCUGGAUUAUUGCCUGGAUAAUUUUACUGUGGAUUUCAGGGUAAUAACUGUUCUCCUGUUAUAUCAGCAUUAAAUGUGGGUGGAGCUGGACAGUGGCUGUAUGCGCGCCAUUAUUUCAACUACACAAGGCAACAUAAGAGUACUAACCCCCUACAAAGGCAAGGUGAAAGAGAAAAUGCAGCAUGAGCUCCAGAAGUUCCCGGGGAGUUGUGAUGUACUGUGGGGUUGCUAGUUUCAACAACUUCACUGCAGAUCAAGCAACAAGGGAACAAGGUUUACGGCUUAAACAGGCACUCAAUGAGAGACAAGUCUACCAUUAAUGCACCAGAAAUCCAGCUGAUUACUGGCAAUUUGGAGGAGGAUUCUUCUUUAUCUGCUAUGUUUCAUUGUCACUUCUGGUACAGAUUCAUUGGCCUUUUGUGGUAUGUUUUGAUUUUACUUAAUAGUACACUGUAAUAUUCAGGGUUCUAAAUCAAUAAUGUGAUACUUGUCCACAAAUACUACACAUAUUAUCAGAACUACAGUACACAGACCCCCAUAGGGUCAGGAGAAUAUUGUGGAAAACAAAACUGAAUUGGAAUAUACAAGCUAAAAAAAGCUCUCCACCUGUUUCAAAAUCAUGACAUCAUCAUGAUAGUACUGUUAACAGACAAGAUACACAUAUGGGGAAAUGGAAUUUUUAGUUUUUUCAGUUCCUCCUGGGGUGCUCUGAAGAAAUGUUUGUGAAUAAUUGGUUGUUAUUGUAAAUUUACAACUCAAUACAUUAAA